RNAcentral lists this ribosomal RNA (717 nucleotides) under Triticum aestivum (bread wheat). RNAcentral describes it as "partial small subunit ribosomal RNA". Lineage: Eukaryota; Viridiplantae; Streptophyta; Magnoliopsida; Poales; Poaceae. The record is from RNAcentral.
AUGAAUUGCAUUAGCUGAAACUGCCGGGGGCUUGGGAACCCCGAGGCAAUUCGUGAGCUUCGCGACAUAGUGAAGCAAGAAGUUCCUGCCCUGCUGUUUGUCAUGGAAACCAAAAUCAGGGCGAAAAGAGUGGAGAGCCUACAAACUCAGCUUGGUUUUGCAGGUUGCUUCGCAGUUGAUAGUGUUGGUUUAAGUGGAGGAAUUGGACUAUUUUGGUCCAGAGAUGUUGAUGUACAACUCAAGAACUAUAGUACUGGCCACAUUGAUGUUGUGGUGCAGAAAAAAGAUCAUGAUGCGGUCGCCUGGCGUUUUACUGGCUUCUAUGGGGAACCCAGGGUCGAAAACCGGCAUCACAGUUGGCGCUUUUUGCGGACGUUGCAUGCAAUGCCGCAUGGAGAAUGGCUAUGUAUGGGAGAUUUUAACGAGACUCUCUACGCUAAAGAACACUUCAGCAAAUUGGCUCGUCCAGAACGACAGAUGAGGGCAUUUAGAGAAGUCUUCGAUGAAGUGGCAUUUCAGGAUCUAGGAUGGAUAGGUUUGCCCUAUACUUGGGACAACAUGCAGUUCGGUUCAACAAAUGUAAAGGCUAGAAUCGAUCGUGCUUUCGCGAAUGAAGCUUUUAGGCAACGUUAUGAACAUAGUCGUGUGCGCCAUGUGAGUUCUGUAGAAUCAGACCAUUGCUUUGUCAUUGCUGAAAUAAAUGAACAUUUACAGUAA